Molecule: ribosomal RNA, 465 nt
Filed under: Vreelandella stevensii
Lineage: Bacteria; Pseudomonadati; Pseudomonadota; Gammaproteobacteria; Oceanospirillales; Halomonadaceae
Description: partial 16S ribosomal RNA
Rfam family: Bacterial small subunit ribosomal RNA
Source: RNAcentral
CCUACGGGCGGCUGCAGUGGGGAAUAUUGGACAAUGGGGGCAACCCUGAUCCAGCCAUGCCGCGUGUGUGAAGACGGCCCUCGGGUUGUAAAGCACUUUCAGUGAGGAAGAACGCCUGGUGGUUAAUACCCAUCAGGAAAGACAUCACUCACAGAAGAAGCACCGGCUAACUCCGUGCCAGCAGCCGCGGUAAUACGGAGGGUGCGAGCGUUAAUCGGAAUUACUGGGCGUAAAGCGCGCGUAGGUGGCUUGAUAAGCCGGUUGUGAAAGCCCCGGGCUCAACCUGGGAACGGCAUCCGGAACUGUCAAGCUAGAGUGCAGGAGAGGAAGGUAGAAUUCCCGGUGUAGCGGUGAAAUGCGUAGAGAUCGGGAGGAAUACCAGUGGCGAAGGCGGCCUUCUGGACUGACACUGACACUGAGGUGCGAAAGCGUGGGUAGCAAACAGGAUUAGAUACCCCAGUAGUC